UGAAUUAUAUUGGUUGUAGUAUGUUAUAUUGAAUACUACUGAAAUAGUUAUACCAAGUUCAACUGAUUUAGUCACAACGAGUUCGGCUAAAUUAGUUAUACCAGGUAGUACUCAUUUCAGAUCUGAUGAUGAAUUAAAUAAAAAAAUCACGAAAACAUACAAAAAUUCUUCAAAGGAAGAACAAGAAGAACCCUAAAGCCAAAAAACCCAUAAUUCUAUUGAACAUUCCUAAAUCGAGAAAGAAGCAGAACAAGAAAAACCUAAAUCGAAGAAAAACUCUAAAAUUGUAGAUCCAUAACCAUAGAUCGAGUCGCAGAUAGAACAGUGGGAGAGCUUCUAUUUCGUUUUUGUUAUAUUUUUCGUCAUUGUUUCAUCCACGUAGAUCUAGGACAUAGAUUCAUUGAUAUCGUACAUGUUUAUGUCAUUUUCUCUAUUUAUCAAAGAUUCAUCUAUACUGUUUUUGUUUUGAUAUGGAAUAAGAUAGAAAAGAAGAGAAAAAUAGUUGUCGCGGAGAAAAGAGAAAAGAAAAACUGUCGCAGAGAAGAAAGAAAGAGAAGAGAAAAAAUAAGAAUUAAAAGAAAUCUAGUCGAUUAAAAUGUAUAUAUUAAUGUUAAAGAUAUUAAUGUAAUUAACUUAAUGUUUGCAUAAAAAUUAAGCAAAACUAUAAUAAUUUUAACAUGGGUCUUUUUAAGAUUAGCUCUUGACAUAUGGGGGCAAGAAGAAAAAAAAGGUGACUCGUGCCAAGUUGAGCCGAAUGACCGAAAUCCACUACAGAUAACAUCUUUAUGAUCCAAGAUUCUACUCCACUAGUGGUGAAAGUCUACAAAUAGGAUUUUUUAUCCGCCAAGAUAGAGAUCCAUUUUUUCUCACGCUCUUGAACAUUUUACUUAUACAAUAGCUUUUAAAAGUUAUCGAUUUUCUUAUGUGACACUCUGACCCACUAUUCCGACAAUUUUCUGGUCAUUUCACCACCAAACUCUUGUUUUAUUCAUUUUCACCUAUGGUUCCAUCCCAAAAAGCCAAGCCUCAAUGGAUUCAUCUUUCUUUUUUGGAUUCAUCUUUCUUUCGGACCGUUUAACCGUGCCCCUGUCCCUAAUUAAGUUUCUUUUAUUUUUAUUUUCGGUAUCCAAUGCCGCUUUUGUUUUCUUCCCUCGUAAGAACCAUAUUUCUAAUAUUUCAGGCUUCUAUGAGUCUUUUCUUUCCAGAUGAGAGUUUCCACCCCAGAAAGUUAAAACUACUUUAAAUAUAUAUAUAUAUAUAUAUAUAUAUAUAUAUAUAUAUAUAUAUAUGAAAUAAAAGUAUUUUAAAUUAUCAGCAAAAUAUUUUAUAAGUACAUGUUCCAAAUCCUUACAAUAACAUUUUAAUUAAUUAUUUAUAAACUUUUAUUAUAAUAUUUUCCAUCACUUAGAGCUAUUAUAUUUAAUGACUUAAUUAUUUACUUCAAUAUAAUUUUAAUUUAUUAAAUACUUUGGGUUUAAAUAAAAUUUUAAACUAUGUAUUUUUAUAAAUUAUGUGUUACCAAUUAUAAUUUUUUUUUUAUUUUUUUUUUGUUAAAUCCAAUUAUAAAUGUUUCACAAACAUACUUGUUUUAACCUAUUUUAUUAAAAAAAUAUACAUCAUAUAAAAAUAACUAUAUCCCUAUAUGUGAUUUAUAAUUUUAUCAUUCAAAUUUUAACAGAAAUGUUUUUAAGAAACGAAUUUAAUCAUUACUUACAUAUUAUACUAUUUUAAUAGCAUACAUCAUCAUAAGAUUAUUUUACCAUUAUUGUUGUUAAAAAAAGAUUAUUUUACCAUUACAUCGAUUUUUUUUAGUUUUGAAUAUUUUUCUUUUACUACAAUAAAUCUUUAAAAAAAAUCUUUAAUUUUUUAUUAUUUAAAUAACUAAUAAAUUUAUAAUUACUAUUAAAAAUAUACCUAAAUAUUAAAUCAUUUUUAACUUAAAUAAAAAAAACUAAAUAACUUGAAUAUUUUAUUUUCAUAAAAUUAGUUUAUAUAAAAAAUAGAAUCUAUUCAUUGUAAUUUAAACGGCAUACACGUUUAUUUAUAACAUCAGACGUUCACAUAUACAUCAUGUACAACCAUAAUGUACAUAUUUUAUCGUGUUGUAGACAUCUAAAAUACUUUAAACACAAUUAAGGAUAUACCCAUGCAAAUUAUAACACCAAUACCUACAGAGUUAUAUGAUUUGACAAUACAGUGACAAAAUGCCUUCGAGAUUCUCACGACAAAAAUUGAGAAGACAGUGGCAAAUAUAUUCCAAAAUUUUCACUAUUCUCAACAGAAAUGACACAGAAAACUCCAAGAUUCACAAGCUUCUCAAUUAUCAUCUCUAUAAAUACCAUAGAAUUCUGUUACAAGAAAAAAAAAUACCAUAGAAUUCCAUGUUUUUGGUAUUCCUACUAAUGUUUUCUUUCUUUUUUUUGCUUUAAUAAUGUUUUCUUUUUUAUAUCAUUAAUUUUUGCUUUUGACAAAAUCGUAAUUCUAAUAAACUGUUACUAAAUUUUAUCUCCUCCUAUCUUUUGAUGUUUCUUUUGAUUUUCAGGUACAUUUGGGCUGGCCUUCUAUGAUCUUGAUUGUGAAAACUCUUGGAUCUCUUAAUGUAUUUCAUGAUUUUAUGUUUAGUCCAUCUCUUCUUAGAUGAUUUCCACGAAGUACGUUUAAAUCUUUGUUACAGAUGAGAUUUAGAUAUUCAAGGUGUUGGAUACUCCUAGUUAUAUGGCUUUCUGCAUGGUUUGUGAAUUCUCUUGGUAUGGGUUGGUGAUUUGGGCACAAUGCUGGGUCGAGAGUAAUUAAUGCAUGCAUGGUAAUGAAUAAUUCUAAGAACAUUAUUCAACAUUUCUUCGGACCUAAGUUAAGCAUGGGUCUCCACAUUUUUGUAACCUUGUUAAAACUUAGGGACCGUAUUUCUAGAAAAUAUCCAUCGGCUCUGUUGGUAGAAGCCUUCGAAACAGUUUAUCAGGUUGUGACUCGACAGCUCCUUGCAUAUAUUAUGGAAAUGGAACAUCGUGCUGUUUGCCAAUUAAUUAUUACUAUGUUAUAUAAAACCCACGCUACAAAUAAUUAUGUCCUUUAUAGUAAAUUUUGAGAUAAUUUCAUUUUAACAAAGCAACUGUUAUAUAAUUGUAUAAUCUAAAUUUAAUCAUUUCAUACUAUUUUAAUAUUUAUAUUAUAAGGAAUAACAUAUAUUCAUCAAUUAAAUAUUCUAAUUAAGUUUGUUUGCCAAAAAGAAUUUAGAUAUUGUUUCAAAAAAAAUAUUAAAGCUUUUAAUAUUUGAAAAGGCAAUUUAUAAUUAAUUUAUAUGUAACUACAUUAACAAGAAUUUAAAUUGUUAACCAGUUUAUUGAUCCAUUUGACAACAUUUUAGUUUAUUAUAAUAAUUAAUAGUCCAAAAUGGCUAGACCGAUCCUUUUAACCGAUUUUUUAGCUGUCAGUAUUCUUUUUUUUCUCUAACGACAAAAGGUCAUUCUAUUAUUCAUGAUUGAAGUGGUCAUUGUAACCAUACCGAAAUAGAACAUCCAACAAAAUAAAGAGCCAUAUGAAAAGAUCAAGCACUUCUAACUAAGUGAUAUGCAAUUCCAUUUUAUU
This is a long non-coding RNA of Brassica napus (rape), 3585 nucleotides long. RefSeq lists it as uncharacterized. NCBI's taxonomy places the organism in Eukaryota, Viridiplantae, Streptophyta, Magnoliopsida, Brassicales, Brassicaceae. The record is from RefSeq and is a predicted model, not a curated record. The transcript has 2 exons.